RNAcentral lists this ribosomal RNA (168 nucleotides) under Pichia kudriavzevii. Its description in RNAcentral is "partial 18S rRNA". It matches the Rfam family "Eukaryotic small subunit ribosomal RNA", at positions 1484 to 1653 of the family's 1831-position model. Lineage: Eukaryota; Fungi; Ascomycota; Pichiomycetes; Pichiales; Pichiaceae. The record is from RNAcentral.
GGGCCGCACGCGCGCUACACUGACGGAGCCAGCAAGUCCAACCUUGGUCGAGAGGCCCGGGUAAUCUCGUGAAACUCCGUCGUGCUGGGGAUAGAGCAUUGUAAUUUUUGCUCUUCAACGAGGAAUUCCUAGUAAGCGCAAGUCAUCAGCUUGCGUUGAUUACGUCCC